RNAcentral lists this ribosomal RNA (450 nucleotides) under uncultured bacterium. RNAcentral's name for it is "bacterial SSU rRNA". It matches the Rfam family "Bacterial small subunit ribosomal RNA", at positions 354 to 796 of the family's 1533-position model. The record is from RNAcentral.
GUGGGGAAUAUUGGACAAUGGGCGCAAGCCUGAUCCAGCAAUACCGCGUGUGUGAAGAAGGCCUUCGGGUUGUAAAGCACUUUCAAUAGGGAGGAAGGCUUAAUGGUUAAUACCCAUUGAGAUUGACGUUACCUAUAGAAGAAGCACCGGCUAACUCCGUGCCAGCAGCCGCGGUAAUACGGAGGGUGCAAGCGUUAAUCGGAAUUACUGGGCGUAAAGCGCGCGUAGGCGGAUGAUUAAGUCAGAUGUGAAAGCCCCGGGCUCAACCUGGGAACUGCAUUUGAGACUGGUCGUCUAGAGUACAGAAGAGGGGGGUGGAAUUCCAGGUGUAGCGGUGAAAUGCGUAGAUAUCUGGAGGAACAUCAGUGGCGAAGGCGACCCCCUGGUCUGAUACUGACGCUGAGGUGCGAAAGCGUGGGUAGCGAACAGGAUUAGAAACCCGAGUAGUCC